Molecule: ribosomal RNA, 811 nt
Filed under: Clostridium acetobutylicum
Lineage: Bacteria; Bacillati; Bacillota; Clostridia; Eubacteriales; Clostridiaceae
Description: bacterial SSU rRNA
Rfam family: Bacterial small subunit ribosomal RNA
Source: RNAcentral
GAGAGUUUGAUCCUGGCUCAGGACGAACGCUGGCGGCGUGCCUAAUACAUGCAAGUCGAGCGGACAGAUGGGAGCUUGCUCCCUGAUGUUAGCGGCGGACGGGUGAGUAACACGUGGGUAACCUGCCUGUAAGACUGGGAUAACUCCGGGAAACCGGGGCUAAUACCGGAUGGUUGUUUGAACCGCAUGGUUCAAACAUAAAAGGUGGCUUCGGCUACCACUUACAGAUGGACCCGCGGCGCAUUAGCUAGUUGGUGAGGUAACGGCUCACCAAGGCAACGAUGCGUAGCCGACCUGAGAGGGUGAUCGGCCACACUGGGACUGAGACACGGCCCAGACUCCUACGGGAGGCAGCAGUAGGGAAUCUUCCGCAAUGGACGAAAGUCUGACGGAGCAACGCCGCGUGAGUGAUGAAGGUUUUCGGAUCGUAAAGCUCUGUUGUUAGGGAAGAACAAGUACCGUUCGAAUAGGGCGGUACCUUGACGGUACCUAACCAGAAAGCCACGGCUAACUACGUGCCAGCAGCCGCGGUAAUACGUAGGUGGCAAGCGUUGUCCGGAAUUAUUGGGCGUAAAGGGCUCGCAGGCGGUUUCUUAAGUCUGAUGUGAAAGCCCCCGGCUCAACCGGGGAGGGUCAUUGGAAACUGGGGAACUUGAGUGCAGAAGAGGAGAGUGGAAUUCCACGUGUAGCGGUGAAAUGCGUAGAGAUGUGGAGGAACACCAGUGGCGAAGGCGACUCUCUGGUCUGUAACUGACGCUGAGGAGCGAAAGCGUGGGGAGCGAACAGGAUUAGAUACCCUGGUAGUCCACGC